RNAcentral lists this non-coding RNA (121 nucleotides) under Chelatococcus asaccharovorans. RNAcentral describes it as "TPP riboswitch aptamer (THI element)". It matches the Rfam family "TPP riboswitch aptamer (THI element)". From Rfam's summary of the family: Vitamin B(1) in its active form thiamin pyrophosphate (TPP) is an essential coenzyme that is synthesised by coupling of pyrimidine and thiazole moieties in bacteria. The previously detected thiamin-regulatory element, thi box was extended, resulting in a new, highly conserved RNA secondary structure, the THI element, which is widely distributed in eubacteria and also occurs in some archaea. Analysis of operon structures identified a large number of new candidate thiamin-regulated genes, mostly transporters, in various prokaryotic organisms. Lineage: Bacteria; Pseudomonadati; Pseudomonadota; Alphaproteobacteria; Hyphomicrobiales; Chelatococcaceae. The record is from Rfam by way of RNAcentral.
AUCUGUUCCGAGGGGGGCCCCGUGAGGGGGCUGAGAUUCCGCCGGCUCGCCAUGAGCACCGCGGUGACCCUUAGGACCUGAUCCGGGUCAUGCCGGCGAAGGGACGGAAAAAGGUGCAAAG